ACAAGAAAGUCAGGGAAGCAUGAGCCCGCAUUAAAGGAGGAACUCCAUCUUUAAAGCGUGAAGAGAAUUUGAAUUUUUUUUAUCUAAUUUGAUAUGUUUGAAACUGCAAUUGGUGGUUUGUUGCUCAAAGUCGUUUACUUUUUAUACAAGUAACGAGUCAGGCUAAGUUGAGUCGACAUGUUAUUUCAUAUGAAUACUUAACAUCCAUAUUAUUACGAA
Molecule: long non-coding RNA, 219 nt
Organism: Helianthus annuus (common sunflower)
Lineage: Eukaryota; Viridiplantae; Streptophyta; Magnoliopsida; Asterales; Asteraceae
Exons: 2
Source: RefSeq, a predicted model, not a curated record